Molecule: non-coding RNA, 28 nt
Filed under: Mus musculus (house mouse)
Lineage: Eukaryota; Metazoa; Chordata; Mammalia; Rodentia; Muridae
Source: RNAcentral
UAGUCUGUGACCAAUCAUGAAGGUGUCC